Molecule: ribosomal RNA, 255 nt
Filed under: uncultured bacterium
Lineage: Bacteria
Description: partial 16S ribosomal RNA
Rfam family: Bacterial small subunit ribosomal RNA
Source: RNAcentral
UACGUAGGGUGCGAGCGUUUAAUCGGAAUUACUGGGCGUAAAGCGUGCGCAGGCGGUGAUGUAAGACAGAUGUGAAAUCCCCGGGCUCAACCUGGGACCUGCAUUUGUGACUGCAUCGCUAGAGUACGGCAGAGGGGGGAUGGAAUUCCGCGUGUAGCAGUGAAAUGCGCAGAUAUCGGGAGGAACACCCGUAGCGAAGGCGGCACUCUGGGCCGGAACUGACGCUGAGGAGCGAAAGCGUGGGGAGCAAACAGG